GGCUACGUAGCUCAGCUGGUUAGAGCGCACGACUCAUAAUCGUGAGGUCGACAGUUCAAUUCUGUCCGUAGCCACCA
This 77-nucleotide transfer RNA is filed under the name Gammaproteobacteria bacterium. RNAcentral describes it as "tRNA-Met". It matches the Rfam family "tRNA". From Rfam's summary of the family: Transfer RNA (tRNA) molecules are approximately 80 nucleotides in length. Their secondary structure includes four short double-helical elements and three loops (D, anti-codon, and T loops). The record is from RNAcentral. Lineage: Bacteria; Pseudomonadati; Pseudomonadota; Gammaproteobacteria.